UGCAUUGUGAAGGUAAAAUCGUAACAAGGUUU
RNAcentral lists this ribosomal RNA (32 nucleotides) under Capsicum annuum. RNAcentral's name for it is "partial 18S ribosomal RNA". The record is from RNAcentral. Lineage: Eukaryota; Viridiplantae; Streptophyta; Magnoliopsida; Solanales; Solanaceae.